AGUGAACGCUGGCGGUAGGCCUAACACAUGCAAGUCGAACGGCAGCACAGUAAGAGCUUGCUCUUACGGGUGGCGAGUGGCGGACGAGUGAGGAAUACAUCGGAAUCUACUUUUUCGUGGGGGAUAACGUAGGGAAACUUACGCUAAUACCGCAUACGACCUACGGGUGAAAUCAGGGGAUCUUCGGACCUUUCGCGAUUGAAUGAGCCGAUGUCGGAUUAGCUAGUUGGCGGGGUAAAGGCCCACCAAGGCGACGAUCCGUAGCUGGUCUGAGAGGAUGAUCAGCCACACUGGAACUGAGACACGGUCCAGACUCCUACGGGAGGCAGCAGUGGGGAAUAUUGGACAAUGGGCGCAAGCCUGAUCCAGCCAUACCGCGUGGGUGAAGAAGGCCUUCGGGUUGUAAAGCCCUUUUGUUGGGAAAGAAAAGCAGCAGGUUAAUACCCCGCUGUUCUGACGGUACCCAAAGAAUAAGCACCGGCUAACUUCGUG
This 492-nucleotide ribosomal RNA is filed under the name uncultured bacterium. RNAcentral describes it as "partial 16S ribosomal RNA". It matches the Rfam family "Bacterial small subunit ribosomal RNA", at positions 29 to 507 of the family's 1533-position model. The record is from RNAcentral.